GCCAGACUCCUACGGGAGGCAGCAGUGAGGGAUAUUGGUCAAUGGGGGAAACCCUGAACCAGCAACGCCGCGUGAGGGAAGACGGUUUUCGGAUUGUAAACCUCUGUCCUCUGUGAAGAUAAUGACGGUAGCAGAGGAGGAAGCUCCGGCUAACUACGUGCCAGCAGCCGCGGUAAUACGUAGGGAGCAAGCGUUGUCCGGAUUUACUGGGUAUAAAGGGUGCGUAGGCGGCCCUGCAAGUCAGAAGUGAAAUCCAUGGGCUUAACCCGUGAACUGCUUUUGAAACUGUAGGGCUUGAGUGAAGUAGAGGCAGGCGGAAUUCCCGGUGUAGCGGUGAAAUGCGUAGAGAUCGGGAGGAACACCGGUGGCGAAGGCGGAUGACUGGACGACAACUGACGGUGAGGCGCGAAAGCGUGGGGAGCAAACAGGAUUAGAUACCCUAGUAU
RNAcentral lists this ribosomal RNA (446 nucleotides) under uncultured bacterium. RNAcentral's name for it is "bacterial SSU rRNA". It matches the Rfam family "Bacterial small subunit ribosomal RNA", at positions 330 to 793 of the family's 1533-position model. The record is from RNAcentral.